GAAUAUUGGACAAUGGGCGAAAGCCUGAUCCAGCCAUGCCGCGUGUGUGAAGAAGGUCUUCGGAUUGUAAAGCACUUUAAGCUGGGAGGAAGGGCAGUAAGCGAAUACCUUGCUGUUUUGACGUUACCGACAGAGUAAGCACCGGCUACCUCUGGGCCAGCAGCCGCGGUAAUACAGAGGGGGCAAGCGUUAAUCGGUAUUACUGGGCGUAAAGCGCGCGUAGGUGGUUCGUUAAGUUGGAUGUGAAAUCCCCGGGCGCAACCUGGGAGCGGCAUCCAAAACUGGCGAGCUAGAGUAGGGCAGAGGGAGGUGGAAUUUCCUGUGUAGCGGUGAAAUGCGUAGAUAUAGGAAGGAACACCAGUGGCGAAGGCGACCACCUGGGGUCAUACUGACACUGAGGUGCGAAAGCGUGGGGAGCAAACAG
RNAcentral lists this ribosomal RNA (424 nucleotides) under uncultured bacterium. Its description in RNAcentral is "partial 16S ribosomal RNA". It matches the Rfam family "Bacterial small subunit ribosomal RNA", at positions 359 to 775 of the family's 1533-position model. The record is from RNAcentral.